RNAcentral lists this ribosomal RNA (476 nucleotides) under uncultured bacterium. RNAcentral describes it as "bacterial SSU rRNA". It matches the Rfam family "Bacterial small subunit ribosomal RNA", at positions 328 to 793 of the family's 1533-position model. The record is from RNAcentral.
CUCUGUGACUCCUACGGGGAGGCAUCAGUGGGGAAUAUUGCACAAUGGGGGAAACCCUGAUGCAGCCAUGCCGCGUGUGUGAAGAAGGCCUUCGGGGUUGUAAAGCACUUUCAGUAGGGAGGAAGGUAGUGUAGUUAACACCUGCAUUAUUUGACGUUACCUACAGAAGAAGCACCGGCUAACUCCGUGCCAGCAGCCGCGGUAAUACGGAGGGUGCGAGCGUUAAUCGGAAUUACUGGGCGUAAAGCGCAUGCAGGCGGCCUGUUAAGUCAGAUGUGAAAGCCCGGGGCUUAACCUCGGAAUUGCAUUUGAAACUGGCAGGCUAGAGUCUUGUAGAGGGGGGUAGGAAUUUCAGGUGUAGCGGUGAAAUGCGUAGAGAUCUGAAGGAAUACCAGUGGCGAAGGCGGCCCCCUGGACAAAGACUGACGCUCAGAUGCGAAAGCGUGGGGAGCAAACAGGAUUAGAUACCCUGGGAG